CUUUCCCCUUCGGGGGACAAAGUGACAGGUGGUGCAUGGUUGUCGUCAGCUCGUGUCGUGAGAUGUUGGGUUAAGUCCCGCAACGAGCGCAACCCUUAAGCUUAGUUGCCAUCAUUAAGUUGGGCACUCUAAGUUGACUGCCGGUGACAAACCGGAGGAAGGUGGGGAUGACGUCAAAUCAUCAUGCCCCUUAUGAUUUGGGCUACACACGUGCUACAAUGGACAAUACAAAGGGCAGCGAAACCGUGAGGUCAAGCAAAUCCCAUAAAGUUGUUCUCAGUUCGGAUUGUAGUCUGCAACUCGACUACAUGAAGCUGGAAUCGCUAGUAAUCGUAGAUCAGCAUGCUACGGUGAAUACGUUCCCGGGUCUUGUACACA
Molecule: ribosomal RNA, 378 nt
Filed under: uncultured bacterium
Lineage: Bacteria
Description: bacterial SSU rRNA
Rfam family: Bacterial small subunit ribosomal RNA
Source: RNAcentral